ACACGUAUGAAAGACAAGCUGAAAGACUUUUCUCAAUGAUGUAAGUGGUGGUGCAUGGUCGUUCUUAGUUCGUGGAUUGAUUUGUCUGGUCUAUUCCGAUAACGAGCGAGACCCCUACGUUCCUAAUAGGGGUGGCAGCCCGGCUUUGCCCCGCAAGGGGCUUCGCUAGCAGCCACCUAUUCAACUUCUUAGACGUAUCAGAGCCGAUAAGGUUCUUGAAAUGGGUUAAUAACAGGUCAGUCAUGCCCUUAGAUGUUCUGGGCCGCACGCGCGUUACAAUGGUAUACAUAGAACGUGCUCAUACGGGCUUCUCCGCGACCUACUGGUCGUGGUAAUCCCUAAUCUCUCCCUUGACUGGGACAGACUAUUGCAAUUAUUGGUCUCCAACGAGGAAUUUUUAGUAGUCGCAGGUCAUUAACCUGCGACGA
RNAcentral lists this ribosomal RNA (428 nucleotides) under Didymium bahiense. Its description in RNAcentral is "SSU rRNA". It matches the Rfam family "Eukaryotic small subunit ribosomal RNA", at positions 1230 to 1644 of the family's 1831-position model. The record is from RNAcentral. Lineage: Eukaryota; Evosea; Eumycetozoa; Physariida; Didymiaceae.